Molecule: non-coding RNA, 1425 nt
Organism: Paramuricea clavata
Lineage: Eukaryota; Metazoa; Cnidaria; Anthozoa; Malacalcyonacea; Plexauridae
Source: the annotation of a GenBank genome assembly
UUUUUUGCCAAUCCUGCAAGCGUAACAUCGCGUAUUAAUUAAAAAAACGCGACAUUUUAUAAUUUUAUGGGUGUUAGAAGUUGUGACCGCAUGCUUGGACACUCCAGGUAACCACUGAUCUAACACCAACACAGAAAAGUCACUGAUCUAUAAUUCUGAUAAAAUACUAACAUUUUUGCUGUUUGGGUGUAAUAAACUAUUAGUAAAUUCCCACUUGAUUUUUAUCUGGUAGAUGUCAGACCCGGUGAUUGACAAUGGAAAGCAUAACACAUUUUGGGGUCGAGUUAAGCGGGCAUUUUCUAAAAACGAAUAUGGGGAAAUCCGGCCAGAGAUUGCACAUAUUCCUGCGGUUCUUUGGUUGGAAUGAUGGUGGGUGGUCGGUAUGGCACUCGGAUACGGGUUGCUUCAAACAUCGCUUAAGUAACCAACUGACCGUAUAUACAUUGUGUGCACAAGCCGAAAGGGAUCACUUCUCAGCAAUAUUGCUAGGAUUUUUCAAUAUGGUUGCCGUUGGGGUUGGAGAACAGGACUUUACUCUGGCAUAUAUAGUACGACACUCACUGCUGUGUCUAUUGGUCGAGAUAAGGAAGAUGCAUUGAAUUACAUUGCUGCUGGAGCAACCACAGGAACUGUUUAUAAACUAUUCUCAGGUUUUCGAGGGAUUCUUGUAGGCGCUCUCUUCGGUGCUGGCAUUUGUACACCUAUUGGGUUAACCAUGCAAGCACUGGGGCAUUUUAUUCCAUAUGAAAAAGUGUUGAAAGAUGAAAUAGCUGUACAAAAUGCCAAGAAGAAACAGCAGUUGGAAGUGACAGAAAAGAUUUUGUAUAGAAUGGAAAACAAAUACGAAAAUUCUAAAAAUAUUUAAGAUAUUUGUUGUCAAUAAAUAUUUAUAUAUUGAAUGGAUGUGAAAUUAUAUAAAGAAUACUAAUAGGGCAGUGUAUCUAUUGAAUUUGUAGUGGUGUUUGAAGCAGUUUAAUAAACUUGCAGGUUGUGUUUUAUUAGGGCUAACGCCACUCGUGCUGUGCACUUGUACCGACUUUAACCCAUUGAGUCACAUUGCGCCCUGAUGCGACCUACUUUAUAAUUUCACUCUGUCUAACGCCAGACGAUUUUACACGUCAAUGGGAGAGCACUGGCGUUUAAUGGGUUAACUGGCCUAUCUGCCCAUGCAUCUAUUUAACCCCAUUGCGCCCUACUUUAUUAUUUUACUCCUAACACCAGACGAUUUUACUCGUCAAGGGGAAAGCACUGGCACUUAAUGGAUUAAACCUAAUAACACACUCCUGCUCGUUUAUAAACAGUACUUAAACUAUCUGGCGUAGUGCUGACAAUGAACCUGAGUUGCAUCAGUAAUACUUCACACAUUUUGUAGAUAGUUAGAAAUACUUGGUACAAAGUUGACCUAUUUUGCAUUUAGGUACAAGG